Molecule: signal recognition particle RNA, 298 nt
Filed under: Saimiri boliviensis boliviensis (Bolivian squirrel monkey)
Lineage: Eukaryota; Metazoa; Chordata; Mammalia; Primates; Cebidae
Description: Metazoan signal recognition particle RNA (ENSSBOG00000005786.1)
Rfam family: Metazoan signal recognition particle RNA
About the family: The signal recognition particle (SRP) is a universally conserved ribonucleoprotein. It is involved in the co-translational targeting of proteins to membranes.
Source: RNAcentral
CCCAGUGCCACGGCAUGUGCCUGUAGUCUCAGCUACUCGGGGGAGGGUGAGGUGGGAGGAUUGCUUGAGCCCAGGAGUUCUGGGCUGUAGUGUGCUAUGCCGAUCGGGUGUCCGCAUUAAGUUCGGCAUCAAUAUGGUGACCUCCUGGGAGCCGGGACCACCAGCUUGCCUAAGGAGGGGUAAACCGGCCCAGGUCAGAAACGGAGCAGGUCAAAACUCCUGUGCUGAUGAGUAGUGGAUCGCGCCUGUGAAUAGCCACUGCACUGCAGCCUGGGCAACAUAGCGAGAUCACGUCUCU